CAUCGCGGGAUGAGAACCCUCGGGAACUGAGGUCAAUCUCGGAUACUGCUUUCACGUUGGAACAACGGAAAGCUGGAAACGGUCCGCCGCCGGAGGACGUGACUGCGGCUGAUUAGGUAGACGGUGGGGUAACGGCCCACCGUGCCAAUAAUCAGUACGGGUUGUGAGAGCAAGAGCCCGGAGACGGAAUCUGAGACAAGAUUCCGGGCCCUACGGGGCGCAGCAGCCGCGAAACCUUUACACUGCACGACAGUGCGAUAAGGGGAUCCCGAGUGCGAGGGCAUACAGUCCUCGCUUUUCGUGACCGUAAGGUGGUCACAGAAUAAGGGCUGGGCAAUACCGGUGCCAGCCUCCUCG
RNAcentral lists this ribosomal RNA (357 nucleotides) under Halococcus hamelinensis. RNAcentral describes it as "bacterial SSU rRNA". It matches the Rfam family "Archaeal small subunit ribosomal RNA", at positions 113 to 469 of the family's 1478-position model. The record is from RNAcentral. Lineage: Archaea; Methanobacteriati; Methanobacteriota; Halobacteria; Halobacteriales; Halococcaceae.